UACCCCCGAUUGGGAUCCAGCCAUGAAGUCCAUUAGAGCAUCAGAUGCAGUGAGGUCAAAUCAAUUGUCCAUACUGCAGACAAGGACGGGCAAUAAUAAUUGACUGAAGCAAUCACUGCUGUGGGAAAACAAACGUCCUGGCCGUGUCGCAUCUGAAGGUCAUGCCUGAUGACAUAUGCCACGGCAUCUCUCUGACUCCUGCGCUCCCUGAGUUAACUGCAAGAAACCAGAGAGAAAAUGAGGUUCUGUGCCAGGGACUGUGUAUUCCUCCCCCCCUGAACAGCUCCACUCUGGCCCUGAUGAGUGUCCCAUGAGCUGAUGUGCAUAUGAUGUGCCCACCUCUGCCAGGCAGGACUUCUCUCUUUUAGCUUUUCUUCCUGAAGCUUUUCUACAUUUAUAUUCAAAUCUCCAUGAAAGAAGCUAAAGAAAUGAAAGCUCAGGAAGAAAAGAAACAUCAUCUUGCAAGUGAGGAAUAAUGCUUUUACACCCAGUUCAGUUACAGAGACUUCAUAUUCCUGCUAAAGAAGAAAAAGCCAGUUGCCCUGCAGUACUGUAAGAGUUACCAAUUUCCCAUCUCCAGGGAAUAGCAACAAAAAAAUGCAUUAGAUGUCCUGAGAAGGUUGAAUGCCUUUCAGCUGAAUCAUCACACCAGAAUUAUAAAAUUUUAAGAGCUAUACUACACAGAAUUAUUUUGCAUUGAAAAGAUAUGCUUAGAGCAUACAACACACUCGUUCCCAGUGUGUUAUUUGAUUAAAAAGAAACCUGUUGAAAUAUGUUCUCUUUUCUGUGGUAUUG
Molecule: long non-coding RNA, 795 nt
Organism: Calypte anna (Anna's hummingbird)
Lineage: Eukaryota; Metazoa; Chordata; Aves; Apodiformes; Trochilidae
Exons: 6
Source: RefSeq, a predicted model, not a curated record